UGGUGGAGUGAUUUGUCUGGUUAAUUCCGUUAACGAACGAGACUUUGACCUACUAAAUAGAUGUUAUAGUUUUAUGCUAUAACUGUUCUUCUUAGAGGGACUUUUGCGUGUUUAACGCAAGGAAGUUCAAAGCAAUAACA
This 140-nucleotide ribosomal RNA is filed under the name uncultured eukaryote. Its description in RNAcentral is "partial 18S ribosomal RNA". It matches the Rfam family "Eukaryotic small subunit ribosomal RNA", at positions 1299 to 1458 of the family's 1831-position model. The record is from RNAcentral.